This 422-nucleotide ribosomal RNA is filed under the name uncultured archaeon. Its description in RNAcentral is "partial 16S ribosomal RNA". It matches the Rfam family "Archaeal small subunit ribosomal RNA", at positions 323 to 746 of the family's 1478-position model. The record is from RNAcentral.
CUACGGGAGGCACCAGGCGAGAAAACUUUGCAAUGUGCGAAAGCACGACAAGGUUAAUCCGAGUGGUUUCUGCUAAAGAAACCUUUUGUCAGUCCUAGAAACACUGAUGAAUAAGGGGUGGGCAAGUUCUGGUGUCAGCCGCCGCGGUAAAACCAGCACCUCAAGUGGUCAGGAUGAUUAUUGGGCCUAAAGCAUCCGUAGCUCGUUUUGUAAGUUUUCGGUUAAAUCCAUGCGCUUAACGUAUGGGCUGCCGGGAAUACUGCAUAACUAGGAAGUGGGAGAGGUAGACGGUACUCGGUAGGAAGGGGUAAAAUCCUUUGAUCUAUUGAUGACCACCUGUGGCGAAGGCGGUCUACCAGAACACGUUCGACGGUGAGGGAUGAAAGCUGGGGGAGCAAACCGGAUUAGAUACCCUUGUAGUC